RNAcentral lists this ribosomal RNA (492 nucleotides) under uncultured bacterium. Its description in RNAcentral is "partial 16S ribosomal RNA". It matches the Rfam family "Bacterial small subunit ribosomal RNA", at positions 29 to 507 of the family's 1533-position model. The record is from RNAcentral.
AGUGAACGCUGGCGGUAGGCCUAACACAUGCAAGUCGAACGGCGGCACAGUAAGAGCUUGCUCUUACGGGUGGCGAGUGGCAGACGGGUGAGGAAUACAUCGGAAUCUACUUUUUCGUGGGGGAUAACGUAGGGAAACUUACGCUAAUACCGCAUACGACCUACGGGUGAAAGCAGGGGAUCUUCGGACCUUGCGCGAUUGAAUGAGCCGAUGUCGGAUUAGCUAGUUGGCGGGGUAAAGGCCCGCCAAGGCGACGAUCCGUAGCUGGUCUGAGAGGAUGAUCAGCCACAAUGGAACGGAGACACGGUCCAGACUCCUACGAGAGGCAGCAGUGGGGAAGAUUGGACAAUGGGCGCAAGCCUGAUCCAGCCAUACCGCGUGGGUGAAGAAGGCCUUCGGGUUGUAAAGCCCUUUUGUUGGGAAAGAAAAGCAGCAGGUUAAUACCCCGCUGUUCUGACGGUACCCAAAGAAUAAGCACCGGCUAACUUCGUG